GGACUUGCACUUGACUUUGACUAAAACACUGAGGUCUUUAGACUUGGUUUGGGGACUUGACUACAGAACUAAGUUGACUCUUCAUUACCCUUGUCCAGAGUCCCACCCAAGUAAUGGUGACUUAGCUCAACUUGCCCUUUUUGGACUCUAGUAGGAAUUAACACCAUGGUUAAGACUUGAGUCACACUCAUUAUUGGGGGCUUGAGACACAACUCAGACCUAGGACCUUUACAUCAGUAAUGGGGACUUCACUGGAGUUGCUCUCUGGUGACUUGCACUUAAAUCAGACCAAAACACUUCAGACUUCAAACGAACCUUAGGCUUGACAUUUGCUGACUUGACUAGGCCAGUGGCUCAAGGUAAUAAGGACUCAACUGUGAUCCUGGUAAUAAGGACUCAGAACUGACUUGAAUUCUUCUCUGAUGACUCAGGCUGGACUCAGAGAAGAAUUCAAGGCAGCACUGAAUCCUUAUUACGGGGUCCUGGUUGAGUCCUUAUUACCUGGGGUAAGACUCAGACUUGAAUACUGGGGACUUAAGACUCGACUCAGACUCCAACUUUGGUGACUAGACUACAACAGUGGAAUAGACACAAAGUAUUUAUGUCGAGGGCCAAAAUAAAAAGUACUAUUGGAUUAUGAAGAAUAAAGCAUGAAUCAGAACAUUUGUACCUCUCAGCAAUACAUGGAAACUUGGUCAUAUUCUGGAUAGUUUGGAAAUCCCAGAAAACAGUUUUCCUGCACCUAAGCAUGAUAAAAGGUUCUCUGUCAGCCACCAGAUCCCACAGGCACCACCAAUAAGACAGUGUCAAAGUGCUAACAAGCAUUUCCACCCAAAGACAUUUCAACAAAGGCAAAGCAAAUGAAGGGCAUUAAACUUUAGUGAAGUUUCUGUUGCCUGCCAAUGUGUAUGUGCUUUUAAGUUUUGAGUGUGUGUGUGUGUGUGUGUGUGUGUGUGUGUGUGUGCGUGCGUGCGUGCGUGCGUGCGUGCGUGCGUGCGUGCGUGCGUGCGUGCGUGCGUGCGUGUGUGUGUGUGUGAAUGGUCCUGCAUUAUUUAUUUGUGCUCAUUAAAAGUAAUCAAUUGAAACUGGCAUUGAUGUAAGGGUCUUUAUUGGGCUUUCAGGAAUCCGUCACUGUAAUGUACCGAGUGACUUUCUAACCCUGCUUGAUUGUUUUGUUCCACAAAAACGCCCAAAGGAAUGAAAAUGUGUUGGUGCACACUCAUCAAUGCUAAGCAUCUCUCAGCGCUAGGGGAUUUAUGAACCCCAAAGGCUUUGGAAGAAAUUCAUAAUGGCUUAUAAGGCAGCGUGGAGAGGUAGGUAAGGAUGGCUGUCAAUAACUGAAUAUAACAACAAGGGCUAUGUCGGCUUAAUUUGUGUUAAUACAAAGCUCUGCGUUGAAUACGACACUAGAAGGGAGGUGAUGUACUGUAAAGGCAGUUAUGUUCUGUGUCGUUAUAAAUGAGUACGUGGGUGUGUUGAUUAAAAAAAACAGCCCAAGAGAAUUGAGUGUUGAAAGUGUGUUGACGCCUGUCUCAUUAACUAUAAAACUCCAGACAGGCAUGUUCUGUUCUCCUGAGCCCUUCCCUCAUAUGUAAACAAACAAAUUAGUAACAAUUCACCAUCAAUCAUGGCCGUUGAAUGAUGUGUGUUCGUGCUCAUGUGUUUUGGUCUACAGUAAACGGCUGCGUCUUUGUAUUCAGUAUUCAGUAUGCAGAGGCAAUGCCGUGAUUCAGUUCAAAAUCUAAGAACCAUGCAAAAUGAAGGACCCCUCCAGCAAAAUCCUCCUUUCUCCUUCAAAUCCUCACAGGAUGCCAUAGGGGGACGAGUGAAGGAAGUGAACUGCAUACACAGGAGGCCGGAAGAGUGACACCCUGCUGUCAAAUCAAUUCAAGGUUGUUGUGGGGCAUCUCAGGUACUGAAAACAAAUCAGUGUCAUGAAUGUGAAAGCAGAAGACAGAUCCCUUAUCUUGUCACUGAUGGGUUGCCUGCUGAAACCGUCUAAAUUGCACUUAAAUGGCGACAUGACUUGGAGUCAAGUCUCUAAAGAUGCUCCUGGUUGUACUUUCACAUUUUAGAAAAUGUGUUUUUGGCUGUUUUGGGGAUUUGAAUCAGGGAUUUAAAUUUGUCUUUAAUAUGAAUCAGGCAGACACACUUACCCAGAAUGUGUUUAGUUUAAUUAAACACUUUGAGUGGAACUGGGAAAAAGUAUCGUCGUCCUCCAAUGACAUUAUAAAAACAUGCCCUCAAGCUUUUUCCUUACAAGUAUCACAAAAAUAUUUGGGCUAAGAAGACUGUAGGCAUGUGUGGCUGGUUGAUAUUGAACAGAACACAUUUUUCCCAUUCUAUGUCCACAGGUUUGAACUGUGUUGUCAUGUAAAAAAUGAAAUCCUACAUUAUUUUUUUUUUCUCAAACACGCUUUCUAUCACAGCAAUCCUUAAAGGGAUAUUCCGGUGUAAAAUUAAGCUAGGGUCAAACAAACCGUACCACCGAGUUAGACACCCGUCGAGAGACGAACGUUGCCGACUGCUUGCUUCUCUAGUUAUACCAACUUUAGUAACGACCAAAGAUAGCAAUACAGAGAGCCAUGCACGCAACCAAAAAGCCAAUCUAUAGCCACAAAAUGGUCAGAAUGCUCAGAACAGCACCUAACUUCAUCAACAGUACAUAUAGGGUCCCAGCUAUAGCACUAGCCACCAAACAUCUUUUUAGCUUUGCCUGAUUUCUUUAGCAAAGAGACUUAACACAAUUCACCGUUUAUCAUCCAGCAGCCACUUGUUUGUACGUAGACCUCUGGGCGAGUCCAUCAACUGCAUUAUUUGUGGCUAUAGAAUGGUGUUUGGUUGAGCGUGUGGCUCUCUGUAUUGCUAUCUGCAAUUGUUACUAAACUAAAAAGCAAGCUGUCUGCAACAUUCAUCUCUCGACGGGGUGUCAAACUCAGCGUUAUGGUGUGUUUGACCCUAACUUAAUUUUACACCGGAAUAUCCCUUUAACUACUCAUGCUGGUUUAUGUGCAAACAUGUUUAUUCCAACAAGUAAUUUGACGUUAAAAAGGGGGGAAUCCAACACCAUGGUCGACAACUCUAUUAAUAGCUGCAGGCCUGUUUCUACAAGGGUGCAAAAGCAUGUAUUACACUCUAAUUUUACAUUUCUUUGCCCUCAAUAGAAUGGACACAAAGGAUUUUUUAUUUAUAUUUUUUAAUAUCAGGUAAGAAGCGAGUCAGGUCAUUUGCAAUGGCAAUAUGCCCCAACAGCAUGUGUUAACUUCA
Non-coding RNA from Xyrichtys novacula (pearly razorfish), 3267 nucleotides. The record is from the annotation of a GenBank genome assembly. Lineage: Eukaryota; Metazoa; Chordata; Actinopteri; Labriformes; Labridae.